Molecule: ribosomal RNA, 170 nt
Filed under: Pentapodus nagasakiensis (Japanese whiptail)
Lineage: Eukaryota; Metazoa; Chordata; Actinopteri; Spariformes; Nemipteridae
Description: partial 12S ribosomal RNA
Source: RNAcentral
CACCGCGGUUAUACGAGAGACCCGAGUUGACAGUUAUCGGCGUAAAGCGUGGUUAAACAUUAUUACAAACUAAAGCCGAAAGCAUUCAUAGCAGUUAUACGCCCAUGAAAGUAAGAAGCCCACACACGAAAGUUGCUUUAUGAAAUUUUGACUCCACGAAAACUGGGGCA